GGAGACGUGGCCGAGUGGUCGAAGGCGCUCCCCUGCUAAGGGAGUAAACGUUGACGCGUUUCGAGGGUUCGAAUCCCUUCGUCUCCGCCA
This 90-nucleotide transfer RNA is filed under the name Rhodobacteraceae bacterium F11138. RNAcentral describes it as "tRNA-Ser". It matches the Rfam family "tRNA". From Rfam's summary of the family: Transfer RNA (tRNA) molecules are approximately 80 nucleotides in length. The record is from RNAcentral. RNAcentral also lists the same sequence under 2 other names. Lineage: Bacteria; Pseudomonadati; Pseudomonadota; Alphaproteobacteria; Rhodobacterales; Paracoccaceae.